Molecule: ribosomal RNA, 265 nt
Filed under: uncultured Glomus
Lineage: Eukaryota; Fungi; Glomeromycota; Glomeromycetes; Glomerales; Glomeraceae
Description: partial 18S ribosomal RNA
Rfam family: Eukaryotic small subunit ribosomal RNA
Source: RNAcentral
UUAAAAAGCUCGUAGUUGAAUUUCGGGGUUAGUAGGUUGGUCAUGCCUCUGGUAUGUACUGGUCUCACUGAUUCCUCCUUCCUUAUGAACCGUAAUGCCAUUAAUUUGGUGUUGCGGGGAAUUUGGACUGUUACUUUGAAAAAAUUAGAGUGUUUAAAGCAAGCUAACGCUUGAAUACAUUAGCAUGGAAUAAUGAAAUAGGACGUUCGAUCUUAUUUUGUUGGUUUCUAGGAUUGACGUAAUGAUUAAUAGGGAUAGUUGGGGG